This 134-nucleotide ribosomal RNA is filed under the name uncultured eukaryote. Its description in RNAcentral is "partial 18S ribosomal RNA". It matches the Rfam family "Eukaryotic small subunit ribosomal RNA", at positions 1299 to 1458 of the family's 1831-position model. The record is from RNAcentral.
UCGUGCAGUAAUUUGUCAGGUCAAUUCCAUUAACGAACGAGACCUCAUCCUCUAGUUAGUCUUGGGGCUUCGGCCUAAAAGUACUCCUUAGAGGGACUCUGUGUGCAAGCACAAGGAAGCCUGAGGCAAUAACA